This 860-nucleotide long non-coding RNA is filed under the name Theobroma cacao (cacao). Its description in RNAcentral is "long non-coding RNA (TCAC_LNC005057)". Lineage: Eukaryota; Viridiplantae; Streptophyta; Magnoliopsida; Malvales; Malvaceae. The record is from RNAcentral.
UUCUGUUCUGCGAAUAAUUUGUGUGCACGAUAGCUGCUUAAAAUAUGGUUAAAUGUAGAGUUGGUAGAGGGGAGUGAGAGCUUUCGACCCAGGGAAGACUGGUCAAUUCUUAAGUUUCUUCCUAGAGAAACAGAGAUCCAACCAGGAAAAAUGCUCUCAAAGACAUCUUGUUUUCUCAUUGAUCCAACCUGGAAGAAUGUCUCAAGUGUCACGCAUCUUCUUCCCCACUUCUGCCAUGAUUGGUUGAACCUUAGGGAGCCGUUGCAAGUUUGUUGAACUUUGAAGACUGCACUCCUUUUUCUUGAUUCUGUUAAGAUUGUUCAAUAAAAAUUGAACCCCCAAUCAACAAAUCCCAGGUAGAUGUCUUUUUACCCUUCUUUUUCUCAUCGAAGAAAGCAACAAAAUAUUGCAGUUAAGAUGCUGACAAUAACAUCUUCGCUUUGUGCAUCCAACAAAACAACUUCCUAAAAGUUAAAAGAACUUCUCAUCCAACACUCCACAAUCAGUAUCUAUUAUCUGUAAGCAAACCCAAAGCCAUACAUUACUGUACUAAUCACAAAAGUAUUUACAAAUUCUCAUCCUCAAACCUAUCUUUCCAGAAUAGACAGAAAAAGAAAAAGUGGUAAACAAGGAAAAUUUCCCUAACUUGCUGUUAGGCUGUCUGUGGCACUUGGUUUUCACAUGCUUCUCCCUCAAUUUUCACGUUGCUACCAUUGUUGAAACUGUCACCUUGCCAUGUCCAAACGAUGUCUUUCAAUGCAGGCCUAACAUCAUCGUCGCAAAACUUAGCAUACUCCAAGGUGUCACCGCUAGACUUGGAGAACUCGACAACCGCAACCUCCGGUGCCACCUCAAACACC